GGGGAUUUAGCUCAGUGGUAGAGCACUUGCCUAGCAAGCACAAGGCCCUGGGUUCGAUCUCCAGCUCUG
RNAcentral lists this transfer RNA (69 nucleotides) under Rattus norvegicus (Norway rat). It matches the Rfam family "tRNA". Rfam says of the family: Transfer RNA (tRNA) molecules are approximately 80 nucleotides in length. Their secondary structure includes four short double-helical elements and three loops (D, anti-codon, and T loops). Further hydrogen bonds mediate the characteristic L-shaped molecular structure. tRNAs have two regions of fundamental functional importance: the anti-codon, which is responsible for specific mRNA codon recognition, and the 3' end, to which the tRNAs corresponding amino acid is attached (by aminoacyl-tRNA synthetases). tRNAs cope with the degeneracy of the genetic code in two manners: having more than one tRNA (with a specific anti-codon) for a particular amino acid; and 'wobble' base-pairing, i.e. permitting non-standard base-pairing at the 3rd anti-codon position. The record is from Rfam by way of RNAcentral. Lineage: Eukaryota; Metazoa; Chordata; Mammalia; Rodentia; Muridae.